This 481-nucleotide ribosomal RNA is filed under the name uncultured bacterium. Its description in RNAcentral is "partial 16S ribosomal RNA". It matches the Rfam family "Bacterial small subunit ribosomal RNA", at positions 28 to 507 of the family's 1533-position model. The record is from RNAcentral.
GAUGAACGCUGGCGGCGUGCUUAACACAUGCAAGUCGAACGAAGCACUUUAUUUGAUUUCCUUCGGGACUGAUUAUUUUGUGACUGAGUGGCGGACGGGUGAGUAACGCGUGGGUAACCUGCCUUGUACAGGGGGAUAACAGUUGGAAACGGCUGCUAAUACCGCAUAAGCGCACAGCAUCGCAUGAUGCAGUGUGAAAAACUCCGGUGGUAUAAGAUGGACCCGCGUUGGAUUAGCUAGUUGGUGAGGUAACGGCCCACCAAGGCGACGAUCCAUAGCCGACCUGAGAGGGUGACCGGCCACAUUGGGACUGAGACACGGCCCAAACUCCUACGGGAGGCAGCAGUGGGGAAUAUUGCACAAUGGGCGAAAGCCUGAUGCAGCGACGCCGCGUGAGCGAAGAAGUAUUUCGGUAUGUAAAGCUCUAUCAGCAGGGAAGAUAAUGACGGUACCUGACUAAGAAGCACCGGCUAACUACGUG